UCACCAUGUUGGCCAGGCUGUCUGGAACUCUUGACCUCAGGUGAUCCGCCCAACUUGGCUUUCCAAAAGUGUUGGGAUUACAGGCGUCAGCUAUCGCCUCCUAUUGACUUUUAAAAGGAGGUUGAGUGGCUUCAGGGGUCACACGCCUUGAGCAUCCAAGUGGCCUUCCCCCACUGCCCAAUGAGCAAGUGAGUAGAUUUGGAUGCACAAAAACACAUAUUUCCACGCCAUUUCUUGACUAACGAUCUUUCUUGUUUUAUUCUCAUGAUUCCGUUUCUAGUCUCUAGGCCGUGCCUGGUCCCAGAUCCAAGCUCCCUGGAAGCUGGUACUUGGGCCGCCCUGGGUAGGCAGCACUGAGCAAGGCAGGCGGACAGCGCUGGGCUCGCGGGCCUGCGAGGUCCUGCGUCCUCCGCGGAGUGUUGGCGGCGGGGGUCGCUUCUGCGAGGGGACACCGAGCAGAGGGGGCGUGCGGCCUCUCUAGGAAGCUUUCUCGGACCCCGGACGCUGGCAAGGACCCGCCCCUCUUCCGGACCCCGGCGCGGCCCCCUGCACCUGGGGCUAGCAGCGGAGUCGCUUCUCCCUGCAGCCCCUCCCUGGGUCUGGUGGGACGCAUCCCCGGCGGACCCCGAGGCUGCAGCCAGCGCCCCUGCGGCUUCUCACCCGCGCUACUCCGCCGCAGCGAGGCCCCGCACUUCGCGCGCUAGGAGUUUGGAGUCUGGACCCCCCGCCGGAGCCGAGCCGCCAGGCCGCCCCGCACCCGGCACCAGGGGCCGAUGUCGCCCCUGCAGCAGCUCUCACGGGGCGGCGCUGCGCAGGCGCCGAAGCCCGGAACCUUCGCGCCCAGCUUCUGGGCCCGGCCGGGCCAAGUUCGCCGCCGUCCCGGUUCCCCUCGAGUCGGCUCCAACUGCCAGCCCGGGUUGGCGCCAUGUACGCCGUGUACAAACAGGCGCAUCCGCCCACCGGCCUGGAGUUCGCCAUGUACUGCAACUUCUUCAACAACAGCGAGCGCAACCUCGUGGUGGCCGGGACCUCGCAGCUCUACGUGUACCGCCUCAAUCGCGACGCCGAGCAAGUUGUUUGGAAGGAACGAACGCCCACUGUGUGCUGGGUAGCAGGGAUACCAUGUGAACCACACCUGCAGACACUUGGGGGAGGGGAACAUCUAAAUAAACACACCUGCCCCUGAAGCAAGUGCUGCUGCGGGGAUAAAGGAGUGAAUGAAGGAAACUCUGUUAUUUCCAGUCGCAUGAUCAGAAGAGCCUGUCUGAGGCAGAGCGGGAGUUUAUCAGAGGAAGGACAUUCCUAGCACCAGGAACAAGGCCAGGUCUAGGAUGAGGACAGACUGUUGACAGGAGUCUUGGUACACUGGGGCACGUGCCUCAAGGGUUUGGGAAAUACAGUGGCAUUUUGGUUGCCAGAGGGUUGAAAGCUGGUCCAGAAAGGCUACUUGCAAGAGGCAGUUUCUCCAUUGUUCUUGAAGGGAGGAGUAACUCUUACCCAGGACCAGGGAAGGUGAGAGGAGGGUGUUCCAGGCAGAAGAAACAGCCUGUGCACAGGUCCAAAGCAGUUGAGGGUGGAGAGUCAUGGCACGGUGUGGCCGUGGUGUAGAGUGGAUGUGGUGGUGGGGAUGGAGGGAGGUAGGCUGUGGUCAGGACUGUUCUCCACAAAGCAGGGAGGAGCCACAAGAGGGUUGUGAAUAGGGGCUGACCCAGCAAACAGAUGGGUCAGAGGCGUAGGCCAAAGGAGGCCAACCCUCCUGGGCACCUACCCCAGCAUACACGUGUUUGCUGGCCAGGGCUCCAUCCUCUGAAGGCUUGACGAGGGCUGGAGUUUCUGCUCCGAACACAUGGUUGGCAGGAGGCUGCAGUUUCUCGCCACAUGGGCCCCUCCCUGGGUCAACUCACAACAUGGCAGCCUCCCUCACAAUGAGAGACUCACCAAGACUGAAGCCACAGUGAGUCCUGUAACCUAAUCUCAGGCUGGGUGCAUUGGCUGUCUUGCCGCAGCAGGGGGCA
This 2015-nucleotide long non-coding RNA is filed under the name Macaca nemestrina (pig-tailed macaque). RNAcentral's name for it is "lncRNA (ENSMNEG00000045975.1)". Lineage: Eukaryota; Metazoa; Chordata; Mammalia; Primates; Cercopithecidae. The record is from RNAcentral.